GCCCUUGUAGCUCAGUCGGUAGAGCACCUGAUUUGUAAUCAGGGGGUCGCGGGUUCGAACCCUGCCGGGGGCACCA
Molecule: transfer RNA, 76 nt
Filed under: Rhizobium esperanzae
Lineage: Bacteria; Pseudomonadati; Pseudomonadota; Alphaproteobacteria; Hyphomicrobiales; Rhizobiaceae
Description: tRNA-Thr
Rfam family: tRNA
About the family: Transfer RNA (tRNA) molecules are approximately 80 nucleotides in length. Their secondary structure includes four short double-helical elements and three loops (D, anti-codon, and T loops).
Source: RNAcentral